Molecule: long non-coding RNA, 221 nt
Organism: Haliotis rubra (blacklip abalone)
Lineage: Eukaryota; Metazoa; Mollusca; Gastropoda; Lepetellida; Haliotidae
Exons: 2
Source: RefSeq, a predicted model, not a curated record
UGGGGCUGUUUCUUGGGGCCAGUAUACUCACCAUCGUCGAACUCUUGGAACUAGUGGCCGCAUGUUUGCUGACAAGCCUGACGAUCCUUUGGGCCAGACGUAAACGUCAUGGUUGAGGAACAAAAUGGACCUCGAUUGCUCCAGUCUCGAGGAAGCUGAUCCCUGCUCAGUUGAAUUGUGGAUGUCCCAACAUCAUCGAAUAGAUAUGUGUUUUCUUAAAA